Molecule: transfer RNA, 73 nt
Filed under: Candidatus Gottesmanbacteria bacterium
Lineage: Bacteria; Candidatus Gottesmaniibacteriota
Description: tRNA-Phe
Rfam family: tRNA
About the family: Transfer RNA (tRNA) molecules are approximately 80 nucleotides in length.
Source: RNAcentral
GCCGAGAUAGCCAAGGUAGUCACGGCGCCUGUCUGAAAAACAGGUUAUCUGGGUGCAACUCCUAGUCUCGGCA